UACAGAGGUCUCAAGCGUUGUUCGGAUUCAUUGGGCGUAAAGGGUGUGUAGGUGGCGCCGUAAGUCGGGUGUGAAAUUUCGGAGCUUAACUCCGAAACUGCAUUCGAUACUGCGGUGCUUGAGGACUGGAGAGGAGACUGGAAUUCAUGGUGUAGCAGUGAAAUGCGUAGAGAUCAUGAGGAAGACUAGUGGCGAAGGCGGGUCUCUGGACAGUUCCUGACACUGAGACACGAAGGCCAGGGGAGCAAACGGG
Molecule: ribosomal RNA, 253 nt
Filed under: uncultured bacterium
Lineage: Bacteria
Description: partial 16S ribosomal RNA
Rfam family: Bacterial small subunit ribosomal RNA
Source: RNAcentral